GAAGUCGGUCAGGCAACCGCUGCGCGCGUAAAAGCGCGGGGAGGAAAGUCCGGGCUUCACAGAGCAGGAUGCCGGUUAAUGGCCGGGCGCCGCGAGGCGACGGAAAGUGCAACAGAGAAUAGACCGCCGAUGGCCGAAGGCGCAUCGCACGCGAUGCCCUUGGCGACACGGAAUGAAAAUUCCGCGCCGCUUUGCGUGAGGCUUCACAGCCUUUCGCCGGAUCAGGCAAGGGUGAAACGGUGGCCCGGAGAAAUCCGGGACGAGGGGGCGAAAAGCCUCUCUUCGGGGUAAGAGCCCACCGCGGACGUGGUAACACGGACGGCACGGCAAACCCCAUCCGAAGCAAGGCCAAAUAGGGAAGCGCAGGCGUGGCUCGCGCCGCUUCCGGGUAGGC
RNAcentral lists this RNase P RNA (394 nucleotides) under Accumulibacter sp. RNAcentral's name for it is "partial RNase P RNA component class A". It matches the Rfam family "Bacterial RNase P class A", at positions 1 to 276 of the family's 367-position model. From Rfam's summary of the family: Ribonuclease P (RNase P) is a ubiquitous endoribonuclease, found in archaea, bacteria and eukarya as well as chloroplasts and mitochondria. Its best characterised activity is the generation of mature 5'-ends of tRNAs by cleaving the 5'-leader elements of precursor-tRNAs. The record is from RNAcentral. Lineage: Bacteria; Pseudomonadati; Pseudomonadota; Betaproteobacteria.